Molecule: long non-coding RNA, 286 nt
Filed under: Nicotiana benthamiana
Lineage: Eukaryota; Viridiplantae; Streptophyta; Magnoliopsida; Solanales; Solanaceae
Description: long non-coding RNA (NBEN_LNC032829)
Source: RNAcentral
CGUUUGAUCAACAAAAUCUUGAGAAAGUUCUUCUAAAGCAACAAAAGGAUCACUUCCAUCCCAAAUGCUGUACACUGUGUCACCUAGACGCUUAAAUAUCUCUCUUUGAACUUCAACAUUACUACAUUUCUUGAUGAUAUUUCUGAACCAUGAUCUACGAAUACGCCAAAGUGAAAAUAGGUAUUAGUACAUUUCUUGAUGAUAUUUCUGAACCAUGAUCUACGAAUACGCCAAAGUGAAAAUAGGACCGGACAUGAAAAUACCUCCCUGAAAAGACAUCAAGAUC